This 468-nucleotide ribosomal RNA is filed under the name uncultured bacterium. Its description in RNAcentral is "partial 16S ribosomal RNA". It matches the Rfam family "Bacterial small subunit ribosomal RNA", at positions 28 to 507 of the family's 1533-position model. The record is from RNAcentral.
GACGAACGCUGGCGGCGUGCUUAACACAUGCAAGUCGAACGGAAAGGCCCUGCUUUUGUGGGGUGCUCGAGUGGCGAACGGGUGAGUAACACGUGAGUAACCUGCACUUGACUUUGGGAUAACUUCAGGAAACUGGGGCUAAUACCGGAUAGGAGCUCCUGCUGCAUGGUGGGGGUUGGAAAGUUUCGGCGGUUGGGGAUGGACUCGCGGCUUAUCAGCUUGUUGGUGGGGUAGUGGCUUACCAAGGCUUUGACGGGUAGCCGGCCUGAGAGGGUGACCGGCCACAUUGGGACUGAGGUACGGCCCAGACUGCUACGGGAGGCAGCAGGGGGGAAUAUUGCACAAUGGGCGGAAGCCUGAUGCAGCGACGCCGCGUGCGUGAAGACGGCCUUCGGGUUGUAAACCGCUUUCGCCGGUGACGAAGCGUGAGUGACGGUAAUGAGUAAAGAAGCACCGGCUAACUACGUG